GUGGGGAAUCUUAGACAAUGGGGGCAACCCUGAUCUAGCCAUGCCGCGUGAGUGAUGAAGGCCUUAGGGUUGUAAAGCUCUUUCAGUGGGGAAGAUAAUGACGGUACCCACAGAAGAAGCCCCGGCUAACUCCGUGCCAGCAGCCGCGGUACUACGGAGGGGGCUAGCGUUGUUCGGAAUUACUGGGCGUAAAGCGCACGUAGGCGGAACGGAAAGUUGGGGGUGAAAUCCCAGGUCUCAACCCUGGAACUGCCUUCAAAACUAGCGGGCGUGAGUCCGAGAGAGGUGAGUGGAAUUCCGAGUGUAGAGGUGAAAUUCGUAGAUAUUCGGAGGAGCACCAGUGGCGAAGGCGGCUCACUGGCUCGGUACUGACGCUGAGGUGCGAAAGCGUGGGGAGCAAACAGGAUUAGAUACCCUAGUAGUCC
Molecule: ribosomal RNA, 425 nt
Filed under: uncultured bacterium
Lineage: Bacteria
Description: partial 16S ribosomal RNA
Rfam family: Bacterial small subunit ribosomal RNA
Source: RNAcentral